ACACUGUUACACAGAACAGUUUUAAUUCCAGCAUUGACUGCGUAUGAAGUUCUAAUUGUUGGUGCAGAAACAAUGAAUAUUUUCUUGUUUUCGUGCCUUUUAGCCUGGUUACCAAAUGUCUUUACUCAAUGGGUUGAACAAACACCGACAACGACAACAAAGGAGGCAGGCGAAUCACUGACCAUCAAUUGCGUCCUAAAAGGUUCCAGCUAUGCAUUGUGUAACACGUACUGGUAUUUCACAAAAAAGGGCGCUACAAAGAAGGAGAGCUUAUCAAAUGGCGGACGAUACGCGGAAACAGUGAACAAGGCAUCAAAGUCCUUUUCUUUGCGAAUUAGUGACCUAAGAGUUGAAGACAGUGGUACAUAUCACUGUAAAGCGUAUACACACUUUUUGCAUGGCGUUGAAUGGGAGCUGAUGGACUGUGAUGACUAUUAUGAAGGAGGCGGCACCAUUCUGACUGUGAAACCUGGCAAACAACCUUCUCCACCAAUCAUCAGUCUACACUACUCUGCAACUGAAGAACAGAGGGCAAAUGGAUUUCUUCAACUGAUUUGUCUCAUCACCGGGUACUAUCCUGAAAACAUUGCAGUGACCUGGCAGAAGAACGGAAAUACCAUACGUUCUGACGUUACAACUACAUCUCCAACGAAAACAGCGACCGAUGAUUUUAGCUCGACAAGUUCGCUUAAAGUGCCCCUGCGGGAAUGGAACAGCGACUCUGUGUACAGCUGUCAAGUUUCUCAUUCUGCUACCAGUAGUAACCAGAGAAAAGAAAUUAGUUCAACAUCGGAGAUCGCUGUAUUAUUGAGGGAUCCAUUGGUUGAAGAAAUCUGGAUCAAUAAAAGUGCCAUUCUGGUUUGCGAAGUGCUUUCUACAGUUUCCAGUGGGGUAGUUAUCUCUUGGAUGGUGGAUGGAAAGGUGCGGAAUGAAGGCGUUCAAACUGAAGCAGCGAACAGAAACCAAUAUGUGACGAUCAGCCGCUUGACUAGCAGCGUGGACGAGUGGCAGAGUGGGGCGGAAUACACAUGUUCCGCAAAACAGGAUCAAUCAUCAACUGCAGUAUCAAAACGAACAAGAAUGGCAAGAGUCAAAUCAAUGAAGCCAUAUAUCCGCCUCCUGCCUCCAUCACCAGAAGAAAUUCAGAACAGCAGCUCUGCUACUCUCACAUGUUUGCUAAGAGGAUUCUAUCCUGACAAAAUAAGCAUUUUCUGGGAGAAAGACGGAGCUUCUGUGAACGUGAACAUCACCAAUUUCCCCACUGCUCUGGAACAGGACCUGACCUACAGCGCACGGAGCCUCCUCAUUUUACCUUCAGCAGAAUGGAAGAGCGGCGCAAAAUACACCUGUAUUGCCUCGCAUCCACCUUCACAGUCCACUGUGAAAAGGGUCAUCAGGAGCCCGAAAGGUGAUUGCCGUCAGACCGAUAUUGCUGUCAAUCUACUGAAACCUCCAUUCAAAGAGAUUUGGACGCAAAAGACAGCGACCAUUGUGUGCGAAAUCGUUUAUAGCAACUUAGAAAACAUCAACGUUUUCUGGCAGGUGAAUGGGGCUGAAAGAACGAAAGGAGUCAAGACAGAAAAUCCUGAUUGGAACGGAAGCAAAUUCACCAUUGUGAGCAAACUUAAAGUCAUUGCGUCAGAAUGGGACAGUGGUGCCGAAUAUGUUUGCUUGGUAGAAGACAGUGAAUUACCAACACCAAUGAAAGCGUCUCUCAAGAAGAAAAUUGACGACCAAAUGCGUCCUCCUCAGGUUUAUCUCCUGCAGCCAUCGACGGACGAGAUUGACACUGAGAAUUCAGCGACCCUGAUGUGUCUCGUCACCAGCUUUUACCCAGCUGAGAUCUACAUUGGCUGGAUGGCCAAUGACACCCUUUUGGAUGCCGGGUACCGAACCCAAGUAGAUAGCGAGGAGGGGAAUGCUUCCAACGUCGUGACCAGCAGGUUGAGAGUCUCAGCGGCGGAAUGGAACAGUGACACCACUUACUCCUGCUUAGUGGGACACCCAUCCCUCAGCCGGGAGUUAAUCAGGAGUACAAAUAAAUCUCAUGGUAUCUCUGAAAUAAUAGCGGACCCGGUAGACUAUGACAUCGAAGAAAACGAACGAGAAAAUUUCGUUGGAGAUGCCAACAGUUCAUUAUCCAUUAUGACGUUUGUCGUCCUGUUUAUUCUCAGUACGCUGUACAGCACAUUUGUAACUGUGCUUAAGGUGAACUGACCAUCACUGCUGAAAACAAUUACUUCUGAUUUCAUUGAAAGCUUGUGUACGAAGCUCCAUCAGAUGCUGAUUAGAAAUGGCAUUGAAUUGAUUUUUGCUCUCAAUCAUAUCGGCCCUUCCACGGUAUCACUUCAACGUGUAUUCUUAUGUGAUCUCAACUCAGGAAUGAGAACUACUUGCAUAUUCUUGGUCAUUAACGUUUGCCUUCACGCUUUCUUUUUUAAGUGUUGGUGUUAAAGAAACUGCUACAAGCUGAGGAAAUCACUUUUCCCCAUUUGAAUAAGCUGAAGACGAAUCUUUGAAAGUUGCCAAUUUUCGGCAACAUUUUGAAAAAAAUGAAGUGCAUCCUAUGUUACUCACCUGCUAGAGAUGUGUUCAAUACAUCUUUGAGAAAAGUAACCAGAGAAACCUUCCAAACAGGCACGCGAUCAAGUAUAGAAUUCUCACCCAAGAGCAUUAGAUAGAUAAAAAGCCUAUUAAUUUGACAGAAUGUCGAGUCAUUACUAUAGAAGAAAUAGAAAAUGCAUUUUCCAAGUCUUGGAAACAAAUCUACCAGUAUCAAUGUUUUUUCCCCACUGUUGUCAUUAAUUAUCUGACAGUGACAGCCGACAUUUCCUCUGAUCAGCAUUUCUAUUUGCGAAGUGAUAAGGCUAUCAGUGCUGAGUUUGAGCAAUCGCUUCGUUUGCUAGAACCAGCAGAGGGAACGAUUGAGAAUAUCUUCAGGAUAUUUCGAGAUACAGAGCCCAGAGAACACUUAAUCAAAAUUCUUGAGUGUAGCAUACAAUUUGAUUCCACCUUAAAAAAGUCACAGGAUUUCACAUUCUCAUAGAAAUUCAAUGGACGCUGUACGCUGCCAUUACUACCCGUAAUACCACAUAUGUGGAAAUGUGUUCAAAUAUAAUUGCUUAUUUCAAACAAUGGUUACGAAUUCCCAGAAACAUUGUUGUUAUGAGACAAUAGGCGCACUAAAGCAAUCUCAUGAAGGGCUAUUUUCAAACAGAGUUCAAAUAAUUCAUUGUCUCUCUCUACUAACAAAAACAAAGGAAGUCUAAUUGGUACCAGAUACUGUGUAACAUCACAGUUAAUAAUUAAAUGACUGAUUUCUGUGCUGUUUAUUUUGCUGCAAACCUUCCAAGUUGCAAUGAAAGUGAUUACAUGUAAGAGAAUACAUUCUGUUUUGAGUUGAUCAGAAAUUCAUUCUUGAAAUUAAUGAGCCAUUCAAACCCUUGUAAGCUCUUUUGCUUGCACAGUACCUUCACUCUAUUCCCACAUGUGUUUUCAAGUCUUUGAGUUAAUUUUAUUGACAAGACAGCAAUUCUUAUGAUUUUCAAAAUAAAGAAAGUGUCAGAAACAGUUGAAACUGUUCUACAUUUGUGCAAACUGUAGAAAUGAAAUGCUGCCAAGAAUAGAUGUCACUGUUGUAAUAUAAUUUAGCUAUUGCCUUCAUAUUCUGUUAAGGCAUUGGUGUGAAAUAUCUACUCCAUAUUGCCAAUCAUUUAUAUGUUGUUGAAAUCCUGACCUUCAAUCUAACAUGUUUUCAAAAUGUAAUGUUAUUCAGUCCGUUCCACUGAUUACGUCAGUAUUCACAUAUGUUCGCCUCAUAAAUGAUUUUCCUUUUGCAAAUAAAAUCAGUUUUUAAUUA
Non-coding RNA from Chiloscyllium plagiosum (whitespotted bambooshark), 3859 nucleotides. NCBI's taxonomy places the organism in Eukaryota, Metazoa, Chordata, Chondrichthyes, Orectolobiformes, Hemiscylliidae. The record is from the annotation of a RefSeq genome assembly.